GCCCAUCCACGCUCGGUGUCCUUCCACAUACCUCUAAUGAAGGGUAUGGCCUGGUGCGGACAAUGGCCCUCCGAGCCGCGUGGCGCGGAGAGCUAAAGCAUGUGUUUGUUCGCAUGGGGCUAGGUGCGGCGAGUGGUGGGCCGCUGCGCACGCCAUCCCGGAACCCUGUGUCGGCAGUGGCACUGUUUUGAUCCCCCGAUGUGGAUCCCGUGCUCUCAGUGUUAUUCUGUGUGGCAUCUUCGGACA
Molecule: unclassified non-coding RNA, 246 nt
Filed under: Fuirena umbellata
Lineage: Eukaryota; Viridiplantae; Streptophyta; Magnoliopsida; Poales; Cyperaceae
Source: RNAcentral